This 4829-nucleotide long non-coding RNA is filed under the name Sus scrofa (pig). Its description in RNAcentral is "lncRNA (ENSSSCG00000062895.1)". The record is from RNAcentral. Lineage: Eukaryota; Metazoa; Chordata; Mammalia; Artiodactyla; Suidae.
CCCAUGUCACGGAGGACAAAGUUGGGGUCUGGUCCAAAGAGUUCGGGUGAUUUGUCCAGGUUGGACAGGCAGGCGGCAGCAGUCCUUCUAGAACUUCGCUCUCCACUCUUUCCAAGAUCUUUGGAGAGAUCUCAGCUCCUGUUUCCCCCAAGGUACCCCUCAGCUCUGGAGCAUCUCUGUGGAGGUUGGCUGCUUCGCUGUUAUUCCCUGGCCCAGUGUAAGCGGCUUAGUACGAGCGGCUCGGUCACAUGCAUUCCAGCAGGCAGUCUGGGCACCAGCAGGAGAGGGCGUGGAGCCUCAGUGGGGUCUCAAGGCAGAAAGUGUUGAGAAAAGGGAAGCCAGACAUCAUGGACCAACUCUAGAGCCCUUAGGUCCAGGCUUCUGAGCCCUGCCUUUCUCAGCAGCUGGAAGGGAACUAUUCCCCCUCGCUCAGGUUUUUUGCGUCUGUUUAUUUGGAGAGUGUUGUUUCUAUGGGGCUAUGGCCAGUGUGGUUCUCCCAGGGGUCACGCGCUCUUAGAGGCAGGGCAGCGCGGUGACGAGAACUCCCCAAACCGGUGGCCCUGGGUGUCUCCUUAAUCCCUGGCCCUCCUGGUGUUCCCAGGCCCUGCCUAAUUGUCGCGUGGGAUGGCUGUGGGCUGGGCGAUGGGAGCUGCUUCUGCAAUCGGCUCCUGGGGAAUGGUGGGUGCGGUGCUUUGGGCAGUUCCACUGUUCCGGGGUCGAUUUUGCCACAGGUCCCCAUGGGGAUGAUGGCUGCUGGACCACACAGAAGGACCAACGAACAGAGCUGUCUUGCUCUCCCCUGAGCCAAGAGAAAGGAGUCAGCUUGUCAGGUCCGGGUGAUGAUGACCCUCUGGGGCAGAUUAAGAAUUUGCUGCCAGCACCCAGGCAUUAGGGGCAAGUGGCAGCAUGCCUCUGGGGAGAGUGGCCCUUCCCAGGCUGGGCAGACAUUUGUUGCAACUCUUAAUCAUUUCUUUAAAAGAAAAAAAGAGAAAAGAAAAAGGGAAAACAACACCACCACUCUCCAGCCAGGAGAAGGUCAUGUUUUUCCUCUUUUAGGGUUUGGUCGGGGCUGGGGAUUGUGCAUUUUUACUGGGCUCGUGUCCAGGCAAGAAUCCAGGAGAAGGAAGAGAGCGUGAUUUCAGUGAAGUAGGCAUCCUCAAAUGUUUGGGGAGAUGCAGAAACAGGCGGAGACGGUCCCACUGCCACGGCAUCGGAGACAGGUCCUUGGAGAAUGCAGGCAUUCCUGUCCCACCAUAGCUAUGGGGACUGCCCUGGCUGUGCUGUGACUCCUAGUAACUUCUGGAACGGGGAAGGCCAGGGACUCGAGCCUGAGUUGCCUCCUUGGCUCCACCUCUAACAUCCUGGGAAACCCUGAGGACACCCUCUCUCUGUGCCUCAGUUUCCCCUUCCAUACUAUGGAAACGGGGAGCUGUGGCCAGGUCUCCCCUGGGCUGUUAGGAGAGGUCCCUGGAGGCUGGAAGUAGGUCCAUAGCAGGAGGCUGCAGACUUGGGCUGGCUGCCUGGGUGGGCUGGGCGUCUGUGACCGACACCUCCCAGAAGGCCCUCUCCUGGACCUGUUCUGCGUGGCCUGGGUCCUCCUUGGUCUCCAUGUCCUCCGAACAACGAAGAAGAUACUGUCUGCCUCCUUCAUGGAGGCCAAACUCCUCCCACCGCUGCUGCUUCAUUCACAGGUCACCUGGUCAACACGGGGCUUCAUUCCUCCCCUCCUGUUUCACUUCCUGGCCGGCUGCUGUGCCACCCCUCCCUGUCACUGCACCCCAGGGCCCAUCGUGAGGCCACACUGUCUGCAGACCUGAAUGCAAAGGCCACGUGUGGCCACACUCCCAUCCUGUGCCCCGCUGUCGACGGGCAGGUGAAAAGGCACUGCUCCCCUCCCCUCCCCCCACCCUGGGCUUUCCUGUGCGUCACCUUUGCCGGCAGUGGCCAGUGGCCUGUCUUCCCAGCCCCCAGACCUCACCACCCCCUUCAUCUCUGUCCUCCCUCAAGUCCCAUCUCAGAUCCAGUCUCCGCACUGGAAGUCAUCCCCCUCUCCCCAGAAGCUGCUGGCAAGAUGUGCCUCUCCCUUCCUGAGCUUCAGUGCCCCCUACUCCCGGGCUUUUGUUAUCAUCUGUGGUGCCUCGGCUAGUGUACGCCCAGUAAGGGUCGCACCUGUUGGAGGACUUUUGUUCCCAGCGUUUGGUGCAGGGGGGGGCCGCAGGUGCCAGGCAGUGUUUGCGGAAGGGGCGAGCCGCUGGCGCUGUGACGGGGGCAGACGUAGGUGCGGCCGGUCUGAAGCUCACGCAGGUCCGCCUCGUCUUGAAGCAAAAGAACAGAGUAUUUUGAGCACAGAGUUAGCCAGGAGCCCUGAGAAAGACCAGCUCCAGGGUCACGGCCCCUCUGAGGUGCUUUUGAGGCCUGCCUCCCUCCCCUGCCCUCCCCGCAGCCCAGGGGAGCACCGAGGGAGGACCGCUGACAUGGGUGAGUGGGGAUGGACAGAGGGAAAGCAUCACGCGGAAAGGGACAGAAGGCAGACCCAGGACCCCAAGGGAGACCCUUGCCCCCUCUGCCGAGGCCUUCCUCUCUCUCCCAGAGCCUUGACUAAGUGUCUUUAUCAAAGCCUGUAAAUUCCACCCUCCGUUUGGCAAGUUCUCGCCCACCCCCUGCUCUGUAACCCCUUCCCCUGCUCCCCUCCUCCUUCCUUCGCCGCCUCCAAAAUCAAUUUUCAGCGAGAGCAGCAGGUUCUGCGCCAUCUGGGGCCGCUGGCAGCCUCCGCAGGCUGUAAGCAGCUCAGUCUGUUUCCCUUAAACCAGCCCCCGAAUUUCUCCGCCAUCCCCAGCCUGGUCUUCCCCCUCUUUCCUCUCUCAAGGAGGGAGAGGAGGGUGGCAUCCGGACCCUCGCGUUCUACUCCUGGGGACUCCACACAUCCAUCUCCGCAGUGCGCCCCUACCCACACGUGGGGUUUCAGAGUCAGAGCUGCCCUGGCCCGGUAGCCAGACAGAAGCCACAGCCACUUCCCCACCUGCAGGGAAGGACGGAUGCGUUAAUUGGCAGGAAGAGCUCAGAGAGGUGGCAGGUGGAGCCCAGCCAGGUUCAAGGAGGUGAACCUGCACUUGCCCUCCGUUCGCAGAGCCGCGGAAGCUGCGUGACUCCAGCCUGGUGACAGCACCAUGAGAGGGGCAGUGCCCUCGUCUUUCUGUUUGGGGGCAAAAAGGGAAAACUAGAAACCUCUUUAUCCCCCCUCUGUUGUACGGAACACCCCUCCGGCCCGGACUGGGACUAUUUUGCAGAGCCGAGACUAGUGUUGGAAUGUUUUGGUGUGUGUUUUUGAGACAGAGCCAACACAGGACACUUGCGGAGGUGACAACACCAAGCCACAUCUCACCCUUACCCUCUCCACCCACGCAGAUACGUUUUCAACUUUCACCUGCUUUCCCAAGUAUUUCUUAGCCUUCUGGUCAGAAAAGAGCAUUUUUAGGUGACUUCUUGAGCACAGAACCCCCUCACAGGUCCCCCGCCCCCUCCCAUCAUCACCCCUAUUAUUCUCUCUCCUGUGUCCUCAGUUAGCCUGCCAGGCACCACUGGCCACCGGUUGACACAGAAAAUACCCGCAAGAAAUAUGAUCCCAAGAAAGAAGAGAUAAAGGAAUCUUAGGUAAAAGUUAUUUGCUUUCAGAAUGUUCCCAAGUGACUGGAGGAGCCAAGACAUGAACUCAGAUGUCCUGAUAAAUGGACUGAUGCUUUGUCUGUCCUGGGGCAGCCAAGAGCCUACUCCCAAGAGAGCCCGAAUGGAGCAACAGGGCUGUGACCUAUUAGCUGGCACCUGACCUCCUGCCUCCUCUCUGUAACCUUGGGUAAUUACACCCCCUGCAGCCCUGGCAGCCUCCCCUUGCAGCAGGGAGUUGGCUUUGACCAUUAAGUUGUCUUCACGUCCUUGGCACGGAGCAGAGUGCAGCCCCCCACAUAGGUGCUCCCUAAAUAUCUUUUGAAGGAGACUUUAUUGGUUGGAAGUUCUGGGAAGGCGGUGACUCCCACCCCUGCACCUACUGGGUAGCAGGUGUUCAAUACACAUGAAUUUCUGCAAGUUACUUUUCCCGUGGUUGUAGAAAAUCAGUGGGAUGCAUUUGGAGUAGUGACAGAUUUUACAAAUCACCAUCAGGUACUUUGGGUGGUGCAGGGGGUUGGGGGGAAGAUAGAGUCCACAGCAGUCUCAGAGGAAUCACCCAUGCUGAGGCCACUGGUGAAGGGGUGCUGUCCCCUCCUAUUGCCCUUUGCCCUGCCCUCCGCUCUCUACCAUUGUGUAUGUCUCUGCAAUAGACACUAGGGAAAGGUACAGAGUUCUUCUCACGUGGUCCUGCAAUCUAGCUUGGGAUGGGAAUUCCCUUUUAUGGGAAAAGUUCUCACUCUCUGAGCAGCGCUGUAGAGGGAUGGCUGAAUGGGUGACCUCCGGAUGCUUUGAGCUUGCCAGGACAAUCCUGACAUUCCUGCAGGGCAAGGUGGGCUGCUUUAGGAAUCAACACCAGUGACAGCCAAAUUCCUAGGGGACUGAAAGAACAUGCACAGAGGCCAGCCCAGGGAAGUUCAGUGGGCUUUUAAGAAGGUCCUCGAAAGGGCAACAAGGUAGAAGGGAGGGAGGGAUGGGCCCGCUGGGUCCAGGUUCAGGUGCAGUGAAGGAAGAAAGCCUGACCACCCCUUCUCCCUCCAUCAAGGCCAGAGUAUUUCUCUGCCCUAUAUUUUCUAGGGGAAACAUUAAUCAAAUUUCCAUUCUAGUUUUUUUUUUUUCCCCAUAGAUGAUUGCCACAUUUGUGCUUUUUAACACAUGUUUUUAAGAUG